AGUAAAUGGGGAGAAAUUGGCAUAUGAAGCAUGGACUAAAGGUAUAAUAACAGUUUGGAGAUGGACUGAAGAUUACAAGCAAAUUCUGUCAUCAAUGAUGGCUUCAAAUGGCAAGGUCAAUGAUCCUUUCAUGAAGGAAAUGAGGGAGUACUAUAAUGUGAUGUAGAAGAACGCAUGAUUUAGAAGAACACAUGACUGUAAAUUAAAGGCCAUGGUGGUUCACGUGCAGAUGAGUAUUUAAAGGAGCAUCGUUUUGAGAAUCUGACUAAGCAUCCACAGUUUCUAAAAAAC
Long non-coding RNA from Ipomoea triloba (trilobed morning glory), 291 nucleotides. RefSeq lists it as uncharacterized. NCBI's taxonomy places the organism in Eukaryota, Viridiplantae, Streptophyta, Magnoliopsida, Solanales, Convolvulaceae. The transcript has 3 exons. The record is from RefSeq and is a predicted model, not a curated record.